UUUUUUUUUUUUUUUUUUUUUUUUGCUCUGUGCUUGUGUUCUUUUGGGGAAAACAUUAAAAAGAAGGAAUUUAUUCUGACUUCCGGGUAGAUAUUUAGUGAUCUUUUAAAGAUUCACUUUGUCAAAGUAUAGUAUCCAAAAAGUAUAAACAAGACUCUUACCCAAAUAGGUAAUAAAUAUAUGUCAAGGUUAUAUUCAACUUAUUAAUAAAUAUGAAUAAAAGGAAGAUAGAAAAGCUAGAUCAAGGAGCAUUUUAAAGGGCAGUGUAUCUGUAGUAUGCCAAAAAAGGUGUUUGGGAAUGAAUUUUAUCAGAGAUAACAGGAUUAGUCCUAUACAGAAAUCAAACUGCAACCUUGGAAUUACCUUUUCUGCAGGUCAUAAGUCUACAUGUUAACAAGUAGCUUCUCAAAGUCUGAGCCCUAAUGAACUACUAAAUAGCAAAGUCAAACACUGGUGAAUUCUCCUGGAGGGUUAAAUAAUCCUUGGGUGAAUUUGUUGAACAAUGUGUGUUACCUUACCUUGUAAAUGGUAAGUUACUCUUACCAUUUAUGCUCUUGAUCGCAAAGUUUUAGAUAGCCUUUGUUUCUAAAAGAUCUCAAAUAUUCAAUUUUUCAAUUCCCUCUUCCCCUAACCCUCUUAAUACCUGACUUCUCUCUCUCUCUCUCUCUCUCUCUCGUCUGUUUUCACAGCAUACCUCUAUUACAACUAAUGACAACUCUAAAGAAUGUUAGUUGUACUUUGCUUGCUUCACUCUCCUGCUAGAAAGCAAGUUUUCUACACACAGGCCUUCUACGUAGUAGAUUCUCAAGAUACUGGUUGAAUUAAUAAUUUAACUUAAAAAAAAAUAUUGGCUGAGUUUAUAAUGCAGAGACAGGAAAUUAGAGAUAAGAACAGAAGAAGAGAAAGAUCAGUAAAUAAAUAGCCAGAAGGGGAAAACUUAAAUCUACAAAAUCUGUUGAUGUGGCAGUUUAUAAGUUGUCCAAUAAAUAGCUGGGAGAAACUCUGUGUUUUAAUGCAGUUACGUUUAGAUGUUACAGAAAAUAGAAUUCAGAGAGAAGUACUCUCAGGUUAAAUGACUUAUUAAGGCUUCCUCUAUUUCUUUGAUCUUUCAUAA
RNAcentral lists this long non-coding RNA (1114 nucleotides) under Canis lupus familiaris (dog). RNAcentral's name for it is "lncRNA (ENSCAFG00000056373.1)". Lineage: Eukaryota; Metazoa; Chordata; Mammalia; Carnivora; Canidae. The record is from RNAcentral.